UUAAGUUCAGCGGGUAGUCCUACCUGAUUUGAGGCCAGAUGUCAAGAAUAUACACACAAGUGCGUAUGGGGUAUAGAAAGCAGACUAUUGUCAAAGUCCUGGCCACAAGCAAACUUGUGUCCUAAGCGAAAUACUUAUUACGCCUAGGGGAACCAGUGCAAAGACUAAUCCAGCUCACAUUUUUAAGGCAAGUCAAUUCA
This 200-nucleotide unclassified non-coding RNA is filed under the name Cryptococcus sp. (in: basidiomycete fungi). RNAcentral describes it as "Cryptococcus sp. partial internal transcribed spacer 2". Lineage: Eukaryota; Fungi; Basidiomycota; Tremellomycetes; Tremellales; Cryptococcaceae. The record is from RNAcentral.